AUUGAACGCUGGCGGCAUGCUUUACACAUGCAAGUCGAACGGUAACAGGCCUUCGGGUGCUGCCGAGUGGCGCACGGGUGAGUAAUGCAUCGGAACGUGCCCAGAGGUGGGGGAUAACGCAGCGAAAGCCGUGCUAAUAUCGCAUGUGAUCUGAGGAUGAGAGCGGGGGACAAGGCAGCAAUGUUUGGCCUCGCGCCUUUGGACCGGCCGAUGUCAGAUUAGGUAGUUGGUGGGGUAAAGGCCUACCAAGCCGACGAUCUGUAGCUGGUCUGAGAGGACGACCAGCCACACUGGGACUGAGACACGGCCCAGACUCCUACGGGAGGCAGCAGUGGGGAAUUUUGGACAAUGGGCGCAAGCCUGAUCCAGCAAUGCCGCGUGCGGGAAGAAGGCCUUCGGGUUGUAAACCGCUUUUGUACGGAACGAAAAGGCUCUGGCUAAUACCUGGGGCUGAUGACGGUACCGGAAGAAUAAGCACCGGCUAACUACGUG
Molecule: ribosomal RNA, 492 nt
Filed under: uncultured bacterium
Lineage: Bacteria
Description: partial 16S ribosomal RNA
Rfam family: Bacterial small subunit ribosomal RNA
Source: RNAcentral